AUUUUCUCAAUGUUCGUCUAUUUUCACCAUUUCACAACAUUCAAUCAAAUUCAAUUCAAAAACAAGUUUAAUCCAUCAUUAAUUCUCAACUAUACAUCAGGUAACUAAGUUUAGGUGUUUGAGAUCCAUUGGUAUGUUUGAAAACUCUUUAAAAGACGAAAAAUCGAAUUUCCCUUGCACGGAGGGGUUGGCACGGUCGUACCACAAGGGCGCACGGUCGUGCCACCCAUUACAACAAUUCUGAUUUUCAAACCGUUUUCGUUCCAGUUUUCACUAAUUCGUCCCAAUCACUUAAACCACUCAAGUUCUACUUUUAAACAUCAUUUUCAACUUAAAACAUCUUAAGUUCAAUCCUCAAAACAUAACUUAUAUCACAAAAUCACUUAAUACGACUUUUAGCUUAAAAUCUCGUUUUUCUCUAAUUCAAUCCCACCAAAAACCAUUUCUCAACCAUCAACAUACUCAUAUUCAUAACAACAACUUCAUCAAUCAAAACAUAUAUUCCAAAUCAUCAAUUUCAUGAUCAUACCCAUUUUUCACAUAAACCACAAAAUCUAACAAUUCAAGCCAAACAUCACUACCAACAUCAACAUAUCAUAAUUCAUCAACAUUCAAACAUACCCAAUCAUUCAGCAACUGAUUUAAAACAUGCUUGAGCAAUAAUCAUCAACAACUUCGUAGUUUUCACAUAAAUAAGCUAAAUUCUCAAAACAACUUAUUCCAAAUUAUCAAACAUGAGUUUAAGCAUAUAAAUAACUUAAUUUCACAACUUUCACUAUACCCACAAGUAUCACUUAAUUUUGAGCACAAAAAUCAACUAAAAUAAAAAUGUAUAAAAAUGAUUUUAACUUAUUAUGAGAAUCCAAUCCAUAUCCCCCUUAACUCAAUCUCCCAAAAUCCUAAGCUAGAACUCCAAUUCAACACACUUAAAUUCCCACAAAUCCUUUUGACAAAGAAAUACGUAGCUUUGAGUUUCCCAUUGCACAUGGGAAUACGUAGGAGCUGGAUCACAACAUCUCGUCAAGCACCCCAAAUAAAAAAUCUUAGCGAAAAUACCCUAAAAUACCCUUCUCACCUAUAAAUCUACUAAUCCCUAAAUCAAACACACAAACAAGCGAUUUAACACAUAAUAAAUAAAUAAACAAAUAAAUAUCCUAGCGAAAAUCGGUGUGUUAGGCAUGACAAAAACGUGAACGGUGAGGGGCAAGGAUUUGGUGCGCAAUAAUAUGUAACACACCCACUCACGUAGUAAUAGAAAAUGCUUUGUUCACUUUUUUUUAGUCGAAACGAGCAUAGCUCAGUUGGGAGGGACUUGCGUUGUUAUAUGUAGGGAUUGGGGUUCGAACCCCUGGACACCCCACUUAUUCACCUUGAAAAAGGUGAAUUCUAUCUACUAGCCUACUUGACAAAAAAAAAGUACCUUUUGUCACCAAAACCAAGAAGAAGAUUGCAACACCUUAAUAGCUUAAUUAGGGAGAUGAAUGAUGAAUCAAUGAAUCAAGAAUCAAUGAUUCAUGUUGUUUCUUUUACAGCUUGGUGAAACGGCGCUUCGGCUAAACCCUAACAGAAACUAUUAGAUAAAAGUUUGGUGAAUAAUAGAUAAAAAUACAGAAAUUAUUAUGAUAAAAUGCAUUUAAUUUUUUUUUUAGAUAUCAUGAACGUACAUAUGAGGAAAUCCUACCUAGGUAGGGAUCUUAACUCUUUACAAUUAUCUGUAAGACAUAAAAGAAACAUUUUAUUUAAAAAAUAAAUAAAUUGGGGGACUACACCAAAAUCAAAGGAAACAAACACUAUAGAAAACUGUUUCGUUGAAAACCUUAACAAGAAAAUCCAAUGCGAUAAAAUUUGGUGAAGUAAAAAAGAGUGCAGCGUAUACACAUAAAAUUAAAUUUAACAGCUAGAUAAACAUAAUUUAUAUUUUUAAAUAAAAAUUAAAAGUUGAAAUAUUGUGAUGUCCCCUAGUUUCAUGCAAUUAAUGCAGAUUACGCAUAAGUGCCCAACAAAAACCUGUAACACACUCAAUAUAAUGAGGUUCAUCUAUCAUUGGACAAUCAGCGGCAGUAAAGCAAGGAAUAAAAUGGGAUGGUUGUACAUUGUCUGAUAAAGAAAAAAAAAUGUUACUAAAAUAUGAUAAAAUAGGAUGUACAAAAAAAUUAGAAAAAUUAAAAAACGGAGUAAAAAAAUGCAUACCCCCGGUUUCAGUCCUCUUGAACCACGCUUCUCCAAGAAAUAGAGAAAGAAAGAUAAUCAAAGAAUAAAUAAACAGAAGAAACUGAGCCAUAUUUUUCAUCCUUUGAAUGUAGUAAAGAGAUUUAUUUUGAUCCUUUUAUAGUUAAAACUUGAAUGCUUUUUUAAUUUCAAUUCAAUAGUUAUUUGCUCUCAGAACUAGCGAAAAGCAAUUUAAAAAAGAGUAAUUAAUUCAAAAUGUGUCCGAUCAAAUAUGUUGCGUGUGACCCUUCAACUCACUCAAUAUAUUAU
Molecule: long non-coding RNA, 2478 nt
Filed under: Medicago truncatula (barrel medic)
Lineage: Eukaryota; Viridiplantae; Streptophyta; Magnoliopsida; Fabales; Fabaceae
Description: long non-coding RNA (MTRU_LNC004265)
Source: RNAcentral